CCCACGGCUGCCACAGCCCGAGCAAGCGCCGUAGCCGCCGCCGCCGCCCAUGCCCACUGGGGGAGCGCUUCCGGCGCGCCGCGCAGGUGGUGGAGAGGCAGCCUGGCGGGGAGGGGCCCUCUCCCGGGCGCGCGGAGCGCAUGCCAGUCUCCCCUCGCAGGACUAUGGGACUAUACAACUGUACCGGGCAGCAGCAGUGAUAUAGGAAGAUGCUGAAAGGUAUCAUCAUCUCACACUGCGCAGGGGGAGGCCAUGGUCAACCCCUCCUCUAUUCCACCAAAGACAACCACGGGGCCCUGUGGGCGCCAGGAGUCAACACCGACAUGACGACACACCACCUUUAAACUUAUAGUCUUAGGCACAGACUGCUUUUAAUGCUACAGCUGUUAAUUUCACAGUCUCUAUGUUUUUACCUUAUGCUGUCCAAAGACCAAAAUAAAGAGGUUGAUUGGUUG
Hemicordylus capensis (graceful crag lizard) is the source of this 455-nucleotide long non-coding RNA. RefSeq lists it as uncharacterized. Lineage: Eukaryota; Metazoa; Chordata; Lepidosauria; Squamata; Cordylidae. The record is from RefSeq and is a predicted model, not a curated record. The transcript is spliced from 2 exons.